GGGAACGACGCUGCUGAGAUCAAGCUCCGGAUAUAGACCUUGGACUGUGCUCCGGGCGUCCUCAUACCCCACUCGGUACGAGAUGAAACUGCUCUCCAAGAGUUCCUCCCGAUAUUCGUCGGAGCCGCGGAAGUCCUCCACAACCCGACCUAUUGCCUCUUUCGCCGACUCUGCCUCCGCCCUCGCUAUGUCUGCAUCGGCUUGAGCGGAGGACAAAUUCUCCUCGGCCUUGGCGAGAUUUCCCAAACUUACUCGGAGCUGCUCGCGUUUGGCUUUGAGUUCACCGACGUAGUCAUCCCACUCGUGGCGC
This 310-nucleotide long non-coding RNA is filed under the name Elaeis guineensis (African oil palm). RNAcentral describes it as "long non-coding RNA (EGUI_LNC074340)". The record is from RNAcentral. Lineage: Eukaryota; Viridiplantae; Streptophyta; Magnoliopsida; Arecales; Arecaceae.